RNAcentral lists this ribosomal RNA (253 nucleotides) under uncultured bacterium. RNAcentral describes it as "partial 16S ribosomal RNA". It matches the Rfam family "Bacterial small subunit ribosomal RNA", at positions 524 to 776 of the family's 1533-position model. The record is from RNAcentral.
UACGUAGGGUGCGAGCGUUGUCCGGAAUUAUUGGGCGUAAAGGGCUCGUAGGCGGUUUGUCGCGUCGGGAGUGAAAACUCAGGGCUUAACCCUGAGCCUGCUUCCGAUACGGGCAGACUAGAGGUAUGCAGGGGAGAACGGAAUUCCUGGUGUAGCGGUGAAAUGCGCAGAUAUCAGGAGGAACACCGGUGGCGAAGGCGGCUUUCUGGACAGAAACUGACGCUGAUGCGCGAAAGCUAGGGGAGCAAACAGG